UGGGAGUGACUAACUCGUCGUCUCGCGUAUGCUACUUCCUUGUCGCUUUCAACAUUCGCGCAAUCUUUAGAUUGUGAUUCAGGAAGAAGCGGUUUCUAGGGGAGAUUACGAUUUUCGCGGCUUCGCGAUUUGAACGAUAUUAUUUAACCCUUUGAAAUCGGAUAUCUCUUCUGCGAGGACAUCGGUUAACUUGGAUUAAAAUUAAUGUGGAAAAAUAAAAAGAAAUCCUAAGGACAUAAGGAAAUCCUAUUCGAGGAAGACUGGUCUUUCUUCAUGUAAACAAAUAAGGACAUUCGCCCUAAACGAUAGUAUAAUUUUUAAAUUUUGUGUCCCCAAUUGUAGACACCAAGUCCGAAAGGGUUAAAAUGUAAUGGCAGCCCUGUUUAAGGUCAUCUAAGUGUCACUAGCUGUCGUUUGUAUUCAAAUACACUCUGACAAUUCAUCAUGGUAAGAUACACGCUUCAAAAACUUUUGUUAAAUUAUAGCCAACCCUAAUUUAAUACAAUUUAUUUCUAAAAGAGGAACAAAUAGAGUCCAAACAAGAAAUAGUCGGAUUGUAAAGGUUAAUACAAAUAUGUAGAAGAAUCUAUGGACUGAUUUAUGCAUUGUCAUUUUGCAAAAUUAUAUGCUUCCUUUUGAUGAAGAAAAGAUAUCUACAGGGUGGUCAUUUCAACGCGAUAAUGACCCUAAACAUUCGUCCAAAUUCGUUAAGACGUUUCUCACGUAACAAAAUAUUAAUGUAAUCGAGUGGUCUAAUCAAUUUCUGGCCUUGAACUGUCAUACUGUUUCAUCUCAAACGAAGCACUUACUUAAUUUUUCUUAAAACUCGCUUGCAGCAAAAAAUCAAGGAAAAAUUAUUUACAGAAUGAUUGGUGGUAAAAGCAGUACUAUUAAUUGAAUCACGAGAUUCAUACUUAUCUUUAUAAAUUAGUUUGAAUAAUAAAUAUAGUCGAAGGAAGAGGAAGGAAGGAAUUUUGUUAUAUAAAAAAGGGAUGCUAACCAUCAUAUCGUAUCAGUUGCUAAAAGAAUAGUACAUCUAUAAUUCUGUCUCCUCGAAUUCGAACGAAACUGUGGACGGGAACAACGAGGGCCUCACCCCCGCGAGUCCUUCCCCUUGAAGGUAUAAGGGGUCAUUGGAAAACUUCCAAUAAGGUAACACGAGGGUUAUUCCCUUUCGUAUACGGUAUUAGCAGAAUAUGUCAAUCGAUGACGUAGCGUUCUGUAACCGAGGAUAAAAAGCAUGUGAAAAUUGAUACUUAAUUAUUUCAUUACAACAUGAUAUUAUUAAAAUGACCCGCCAGUUUUCUUAUAACAAGAUAUAGGAACAAUGCAGUUAGUGUUAUUGCAAUGACUCGACGGUUUAUUUAUAGCAGAUCUAAUAUAACUACCAGUGCAGAAUACGAUUUUAUUUUUCUAUUAAAAAUAAGAGAAUUAAAUCAGAGAAGUAAUACGCAAAUUAUUAUUUUUAAUUUUAGUCCUUUAGAUUGUGAUACUUUCGUAUUUGGAUUACGAAUAUUUUAAUGAGUUAAUGUAAUAAAUAUCUGUUUAUUAAUUUGUAAAUUUUUAAAGUGUUCUUAAACUUUCUUGGAUUUAAUUCUGACUAUCUUUUGAUUUAACAUUUGUUUAUGGACGAGGUAUUUACACUAACAAUUUAUAGUUUUUUCAUGUUUUUCCCUUUACACUACAACAGGAAGUUAGAAAUAAAAAGAAGAAAGUAUUGUCUAUUAAAUUCUCUUUCCUGGAAAAUAAAAUUUGUUAAAAAGCGAGAGAACAUGAAAAUUCUAAUUACUUUUUCACGUUGUAUUAAUUAUACAGACCAGAAUUACAUUAUUCUCUACAAUUCUAAUAAGUUACAACGUUGGACCAAUUAUAUUGUAUCAUUACAUCAGAACACACCAUGACAACGAAAAUUAUUAAGUACCCCAUUGAACAAGCUUUGACUUGGUUUAUUAAUUAAUUCUUUCGUUAAACACAUAUUUCACUUUCGACACUGACGUUCGAAAAUGCUUGAAGUUGUGCUGUACUUAUCGCUACCUAUAGACGGAGCACCAGAGUUAGUAUUAUCACCUUUAAAGUGCCCAUUUUAAGGAAUUUCUUCGCGAUAUCUACCACAGGAAGCCAGCGAAAUGCGAAUUGUUCGAAACGUGCCAGGGGUUAAUACGAGCUACCUAUACGUCGUGUGUGUACAAGGUUCAAUAAGGAAAAGAAGAAACGAAUUCGUUAUUCAUCGACGUGUCAAUCGAAUGUAUAAAAUGCGUGCAAGUUUCUUUAAAAAGCAACGAGCUAGGGAAAUGGAUAUUGACGUUAACGCGAAAGAAGAUUGUAGAAAAAAAAGAGAUUUCGAUAUAAAAAUAUUUUGUUGAAAAGAAAAGAAAGUUUGUGCUGAAGACAAAACUAUAGACCAAGUUAUAAAAUUGUACAAACGGAGAAUCUAAAAUUAAAAUUUUAAUUCUAAAUCUAAACAGUAAUCCAGGUAUUUAAGGGUUAAGACUUAUUUAUAAUUUUUUCAAACACUGUAACAUAAGAAUUUAUGUAAGAAUGGUUUGAAGCAAUCAUUCAUAAGUCUAAAUUUUUUUUACAUUGUUUUUAAACUAUUUUUGUUUGAUAUUCAAAGAUGGUAAAAACUAAAUGAACAAUUCAUAUUUCUUCAUAUUCUUUGUGGUGCGAUUCACAAUCAAUAGAAGCUCAUUAAAAUAUUCAAAAGUGCUAAAGAUAAACUAUCUAAUAUUCCACACAAUCUUAACGAUAUAAUAAUUUGAAACCUAGAGGAGAGGAUAAACAAGUGUCUGAAGGGAAGCCGGUAGUAGAAUUGUGCGCAUACAUAGCCGAUUUUGAGAAAAUAGUAAGAAAGAAGAAAGAGAAAGGCAAUGAGAUUGAAACAGAUGGAAUAGUAGAGGUCGAGGAGAUAGACUAACCGUAACCUAAAAUAACCUAAGAUUCUUAAGAAAGAACAGAAAUAUUUUGAAGGAUGUUAAGACAGUUGUAUGACAAUUCUGUAAUCACACAAAUAAAAUAUUUAAAAACUAAUGAAAUAUUAAAACAACUAAACCAAUGAGUCUACAUUAUAAGAAUAUAAGAUAAGGAAAAGGGGAUAUAAUGUAAGGAAAGGGA
This is a long non-coding RNA of Hylaeus volcanicus, 3111 nucleotides long. RefSeq lists it as uncharacterized. The transcript has 3 exons. Lineage: Eukaryota; Metazoa; Arthropoda; Insecta; Hymenoptera; Colletidae. The record is from RefSeq and is a predicted model, not a curated record.